CUUCUUCCACUCCGAUCUCCUUCCUCCCUCCGCGAUCGACUUCCAUGUCGCCGCUGACCACACCUUCGCCUUCGAUUGCUUCAUGAUCGACUUCCAACGCCGUUAAGCUCGCUUAGGUUAUCUCAGACGCAGACAGAUCUAAUGAAGUAAUCGAGAUCUAAGAGUUGUUCAUGAAGUGCACACUGGAUUCCAUAUUCAAAAUAGUUUGGGGGUAGAACUGAGCACGCUGUCCGAUCAAGCAAAGAAGGGAGGGCUUUCGCGAAGGCCUUCGAUGAUUCAAGUGCUUAAGUGCUUGUGAGCUACUUUGAUGUGAUCUGGAAAGUCAAGAGGUUUUUGAAUGUAGGCUCAGAAACCCAAAUCAAGAAGAACCUCAAAGCCAUCGAUGAUUUCGUCUACAAACUGAUUGAUGCAAAGAUUCAACAGAAGUCUAAACCACCUUAACCAUCCUCUUCCUUCAGUCCUCAAGUCUCCCUUCAAGCUCCUUGAUGGCCCCAAGAGCUCCACCGCCAGAAACUCAGAUGAGAUCGCCAAGCUAUUUCCUAACCUAUUUGGUCAGCCAUCGGCAAAGCUGGUGCUGGCCGGCUCGGACCCUUCAGAUUUGCCCUCAAGCCUGAAGAUAUGGGGUUGUAUUGUCUAGUGGCCAAGCUCCAGGUGGACACAAUGUGAUAUCUAGGAUGUUUGAUGAGCCUCUAUUUCGUUAACAUCUCGUGCUUGAUCUUACUUAUUCUUAAUCGAGGGCUUGUUGUUUUAUUUUUGUCAUUGCCAAGCUAUACUUUAUAUUAAUUAUAGUCAUUGUAAUUCUAGUUAUUCCAUGACGAAGAAAUAGACAAAAUCUGUUAGAUAAAGCUCCAAUGCUAGUUUGGAAACUAAGAGCAUUUACUUAUGGAUGCGUUAUAAUUAUAUCAAAAUAAUGUGAUCAGCAAUUGGAUUGGUAACACUGUAGGAGUCUUAAUGUGUUAAUUAUAUAUGUAUAUUGUAGUUGUAUGCCUAUAGGAGUCUUAAUGUAUACUGUAGGAGUCUUAAUGUGUUAAUUAUGUAUGUUGUAGUUGUUUUGCAGAUCUACUAUGAAAUGAUUGGAAAUGUAAUGAUAGAUGCUCGUUCAACUAGAAAAUAUUACCACUUUAAUCUCAUAAACUUCUGACAAUAAAUUGAUACUAAAUAGUUUUCCAAUGUAAAAUAAAGAAUACCUCAUAAGGUGGAGAAAGUAUUUUGGAAAUGUUUUUCUUAUCAUGUAUUGCAGUGUGCUUGUGGAUCGAAUUACCUUAGAGUGGAGGCUGCUCUAUGGAAGGAUAAUCAAAAUAGUAGUAAUUCUUUUAGAAAAGAGUGACCCAGGUCUUGCUGUGGAAUAUGAGCAAAUCUCUGAAGCAUACGAAGAGUGGUUGUCAGCAAUCCAAUUAUGCUGCUUGAUGAAAUUGAUCAAAUGGGUUCUAAUAUCGAGGGGAUCCAACAUCCGCAUUAUUGGAAGUUCUUGAUCCCGAACAAAAUAAAACUUUCAAUGAUCAUUAUUUGAAUGUUCCUUUUGAUCUAUCAAAGGUAAUUUUUGUUGCAACUGCAAAAAGAAUUCAACCUAUUCCUCCUCCACUCUUAGAUCGAAUGAAAGUCAUUGAGUUUCUUGGCUAUACACCUGAAGAAAAACUAAAGAUAGCUCUCAAGCAUCUUACACCACGAGUCUUAGAGCAGCAUGGAAUAAGCUCUCAGUUCCUUCAAAUUCCUUAGUUUGCAAGAUCUGGACACACUUAACUGUGAGCAAAUGCAAUUAUGAUCACUAGAACUAACUUUGUUGUGCUCUUCAGCACUGUGGUAAGUCUUUGUGUUUAGGGAAGUCUAAAAUACAUACUGAAUCCUGUUAUGUUUGCCACCUUCUGAAUUUAAAUUUGUUGCAAUAUUCAAGCUAACUAAAUAAUCAACUUGGUGAUUAUCAAAUGCACAAGCAGUUUUUUUUAAAAAAUUUUUGGAGUGAAUUUUUUAUUUUUUUAGUACCUUAUGAUGCCUCCUAGGUUUUUGGAUUGAUGACGAAGUUGCUCUUGAGAUUCUUAUUGUCGCAUAAUCCAAAGCACUUUAGCAACAUAUCCUUUAAUCCAUCAACCCCCAAAUCUCUCCUAUUGUUGUUCAUGGAGAAUGGACAGGACUCGGAAGAUGAAAUAGGGGAACAUAUAGCUCAAACAUCCAAUCUUAGACUACUCCUCACAAAACCAACUCACACGAUACAUCUCCAAUAGCAGAAGUUUGAUGAUGCAUUCAUGCAUCCAUUUUCUUGAGGAUGCAAUAGAAAGUAUAGUCGUUGGUUAUUUAAGUUUAUGGUUUGGUAUGACUGAUAUAGAUUCUACUUAUUUUAAAGUCAUAUACUCUUUUGUAGGAAAGAAAUUAUGUUACUAAGUGAAUUUUUUGUUACUA
Molecule: long non-coding RNA, 2394 nt
Organism: Zingiber officinale
Lineage: Eukaryota; Viridiplantae; Streptophyta; Magnoliopsida; Zingiberales; Zingiberaceae
Exons: 6
Source: RefSeq, a predicted model, not a curated record